RNAcentral lists this long non-coding RNA (215 nucleotides) under Elaeis guineensis (African oil palm). RNAcentral describes it as "long non-coding RNA (EGUI_LNC038765)". The record is from RNAcentral. Lineage: Eukaryota; Viridiplantae; Streptophyta; Magnoliopsida; Arecales; Arecaceae.
AGGUGAGUGGUUUUUUCUAUCUAACUUUGAUAUUUUCUUUACUAUAUUUUGCUAUAAAAAAGAUUAAUUUUGAAGAAGAAAGCUAGAUUUUUAUUAUUCUACAAGUUAUAUAUAUAUGCAAGCAUGAAAACAAAAAGUGAUUCCUAUUUGAAAUAUUGUUCAAGUGUAUGCAUGUGUAUGUAUAACUGAUUUGAACAGCAUACAUUUUUAGUGUG